RNAcentral lists this unclassified non-coding RNA (145 nucleotides) under soil metagenome. Its description in RNAcentral is "partial internal transcribed spacer 1". The record is from RNAcentral.
UAAUAAGUGUUUUAUGGCACUUUUUAAAUCCAUAUCCACCUUGUGUGCAAUGUCAGUCGAUCUUCUUCAUGGAGAUCGACCAAACAUCAACCUUUAUCUUUUAACUCUUUGUCUGAAAAAUAUUAUGAAUAAACAAUUCCAAAUA